UGGGCAACAAAAGUAAAUCUCUGUCUCACCAAAAAAAAAAAAAAAAAAAUCUACAUACAGCCCGUAGCUUUAUUUAACAGGAAUAUGCCAAUGUAAAUUUCUUGGUUUUGACACAUGUACCAUAGUUAUGUAUAAUGUUAACAAUGAGGGUAACUGAGUAAGGGUGUAUAGGAACUCUGCACUGUCUGUAUAACUUUUCUAUUUGAAAAUAAUUCCAAAAUAAGAAGGCUUUAAAAAAAAACAAAAAUUUAAUAUCGAUUUUUGCAAGUUGUGUUUAUAUCAGUUAUACUUGUUCCACUUUUCAAAGGGAGGAGAUAUAUUUUUAUCUGUCUAAAAAAAGACUUUACAAAGCCUUUUUUCUUCUUUUGAGUGCUAUAGAAUCUGACAGUGACACCAGAAUGACAAGUCAGAAGGGAAAGUGAAGGAUUCAGCCUUUACAAGGCGUGACUUCUUAAUCCUGUAUUGACAUGGAAUGAUACUCUAGUCAUCUUGGCUUGAUCUAGUGUGCCUCAUUGUCCUGAUCAGAAAAAUCAGAAACUUUGGGGGACCUGAAACAUCAUCUCUCUGGACUUGUUGCAAAGAUGGAAGGUAACACCCUGGAGAUGGUAGAGCAUUGAGACGAGAAGAGUGUGGGUCAUUGAAGACUUCAUGAAACACAGCAGCCACACACCAGCUCUGGACUGCCCCACCCUGACUUUGACAUUAGAGAAGUAAACUUCAUUUUCUUGAGCUACUGUGAUUUGAAAUCUUUGUUACCUACAGCUGGGGCUAAUCCUUUCUGAUACACAUGGCCACCAGCCAUACUAUGAGAAAGCCCCAGGUCAAGAGUGAGGAUCUGGGCUAUUCAAGAUGUAAGACAGGCAUGGCAAAUCUCACCCAUCAUUGACUCCCAGCUCACAUCCUCUGUCCACCUGAACCACAUUUAUAACAUGCUUAGUCCAACUUUUCCAUUUCCUUAGUCAAUUUUCUUUCUACUUUCUGUUAGGGCCAUUUCAUAAGAUGUUUCAAGUUUGUUGUUGUUGUUGUUUGUUUGUUUGUUUUUUAGCACAGUAGAAAUAGCAGUAGUUACUAAAUAGAAACAACACAAAUAGCAGAGAAUCUCAUAUGUAUGAAUGUCAUUAUGCAUGAAGUAAAAAAGAAACUUGAUAAGAAUCAAGUUUCGAAAAAGAAACCAUAAAAGGCAUUACUGUUCACUCAUAUAUGGCUUCCUUCCACUUUCUCUGGGGGUAAAUGGCACUCCCUGUGCAAGUCUCUUUUUAUGGUAGACAUGCAUAUCUGUUAUUUCUGUUUUAGGAUAUAGUGUGUCUCUCUAGGUCACAAAAGGCCAUUGUUGAUCAAGUUAUGAAGAGAAGAGUAUUAAUACCUCAUGAGCAUUUUUCAGUACACAGCACUUUUCUGUCAUCUUUCCAGAAAAAGAGUUGUGUGUACUAAUUGGAAAAGUAGGUUUCCAAUACAACAUUCAAUACUCUGUACUCAGUCUUGUUUCGUAUAAGGAAACUAUAGUGAGCAAAUAUAGCCACAAUACAUCCAUCCCACAAAUUGGGCACUGGUUGAGUUUUUCACAGUAAUUUGUUAGGUUAUAUUAAGAACGUAAGGAAGUCAGUACAUAAAAAUAAUAAUCAUCUGUGGAGUUUAAGAGCCUAACAAAUUGCAGCCCUCUUUUCUGCCCAAGUUCAGGACCAAUUGAGAAGUCCAACCAGUGGAGAAGGAAAUAAUCAACUUUGUUACUAAUAAGAUGAUUAAGGAGCAUGGCUUUAAAUCCAGCUCCAAAUGGACUUCCUAAUGCAGUCCCAUUGACUUGAACUUAACUAUGGGCUCCCCUGUUUCUGGGGGCAGUGCUUACCCCAUAAGCUUCUUUCAUAGUGGAGAGCAAACCAGAAUGGACCCUUUAAGUGGGCAGGCAAAUUUGGAAGAGAAAUAACCCAAAAAAUCCUGAGCCAAGCAUGUUCAUUUCCUUCUACCAAAUUCACUAAUUAGAGGUGUCACACCUUUUUCUCUGGUGAGAGGUUGUUACAGAGGUGAGGCAAUGGAGAGAAGUUAGACUUGUCCUCAGGUCCUUUUCCUCCUGUAGCAGACCCUGUCCCUGCCCCACCACUAUCCACCAGCUUUAAUUUUGCCAAUUAAAGCUGCCUGUCACCAUCUUUUUGCCCGAAGGCCUUCUUCAAAGCCGUGGAAGCAGCAUUCCUCAACCAAUGACUGACCCAAGUUGGUAAAUAAAUACCCCAACUCCCUUGCCCUAGUGGCUAUAGAACUCUGAGGUGCAUGUUCUAUACUGUUUCCCAGAGCUUUCUGGCAAAACUAAGCCCCAGACACACACAAUGAUAGCCAGCUCAAUAAUGCACCCUUCCUUGGCUUCCUUCCUUUACCUGUCUCAUCUUCCCACUUGCCUAGUGUGUCCUGGAAUCACCACUCAAGUAUUUACUGAGAGUAAAUCCUUGCUCUCAAGUACUUACUGAGAGUAAAUCCUUGCUCUCAAGUACUUAUCUCAAGGUCUUCUUUUAGAUCAGGGAUCAGCAGAUUUUUUCUAGAAAGAGCCAGAUAUUAAUGUUUUAGGCAUUGCAACUGCACAACUCUAGCAUUGCAAUGUGAAAGCAGUCAUAGACAAUAUGUAAAGAAAUGGGCAUGGACUGUGUUCCAACAAAACUGUAUUUACAAAAUCAGGUGGUAGGCUGGAUUUGGUAUCUGAGCCAGGCCAUAGUGUGCUGACCCUUAUUCUAGAGGAAUUUGAGAUAAAUCAUUCCCUGAAUUUGUAUUUUUAUAGCUGUGUAACAAAUUAUCACAAACUUGGCAGCUUAAAACAACACAAAUUUAUUAUCUCACAGUUUCCAUGGGUCAGGAGUCCAAGCACUAUAUAACUGGGUUCUAUGUUCAGGGUCUCACAAGGUUGAAAUAAAGCUUCCAGCUGAGCCACGUUCUCAUCUAAGGCUCAGAGUCGUCUUGUAACUUCACACAGUUCUUGGCAGAAUUUAGCUCCUUGCAGUUGUAGGACUCAGAUCCCAGUCUUCUUGCUAGCUGUCAGCCAGGGACCAUUUUCAGCUCCUAAAGGCCACCAUUCCCUGACACACAGCUCUCUCUGCAACAUUACAAUUUGCUUUUUUUUUUCUUUUGAAAAAGAUUUAUAGACAAAAAAGGGAAGUGAGGC
This 3142-nucleotide long non-coding RNA is filed under the name Homo sapiens (human). Its description in RNAcentral is "HSALNT0407036". The record is from RNAcentral. Lineage: Eukaryota; Metazoa; Chordata; Mammalia; Primates; Hominidae.